UACGGGGGUGGCUAGCGUUACUCGGAAUUAUUGGGUGUAAAGGGCAAGUAGGCGGUCUAGUAAGUAAGGGGUGAAAUCCCACGGCUCAACCGUGGAACUGCCUUUUAAACUGCUAGGCUUGAGGUUGUCAGAGGGAAGGGGAAUUCUCGGUGUAAGGGUGAAAUCUGUAGAUAUCGAGAAGAACACCAGCGGCGAAGGCGCCUUCCUGGGACAAACCUGACGCUAAAUUGCGAAAGCUAGGGGAGCAAAC
This 250-nucleotide ribosomal RNA is filed under the name uncultured bacterium. Its description in RNAcentral is "partial 16S ribosomal RNA". It matches the Rfam family "Bacterial small subunit ribosomal RNA", at positions 524 to 773 of the family's 1533-position model. The record is from RNAcentral.